RNAcentral lists this long non-coding RNA (10359 nucleotides) under Acanthaster planci (crown-of-thorns starfish). Its description in RNAcentral is "uncharacterized LOC110989359". The record is from RNAcentral. Lineage: Eukaryota; Metazoa; Echinodermata; Asteroidea; Valvatida; Acanthasteridae.
ACAAACAAACAAACAAACAUACAUAUUCCGCCAUUUUUAAAAAAAGUCCAUUCGUGCACAGCGCCAUGGAUUUUUCUCACAAAUUUAAACUUUUGCUGCCCUUAUUGAAUUCACUCAACUACAGUAUACGCAACACGCCAGCAUAACGACUGAUACAACCUCAAGACUGGAAAUAUUGCCAUGACUUGCAAGCUUCUUUGGUAGCAGUGUAACGUGCACAUGGUUGAUCAGUGUUGCAGAACUAGCCUUCCAAGAAGAAUUCUUGCCACAGUGUUGAUGUACAUGUUACAUGUAUCAUCAUUCAAGAGAGGAAAAUUCUUCAGAGACACAGGGGAAGCCACCGCAGGUUGAUGAUAUCAGUUGCCAUACUUGAGGCCUCAACAAUUUGCUGAAAGUCACUGUUGGCUCGACAUGUCACCUGACCAAACAGAUACAUGUGCAUGACAGUUCCACGGUGUGGUUGCUUGAUGUCACCAGAGGUCUCUGACUACCACUGCUGAUUUGAUGAUGUGGGUUUUUUGUGGUCAUUUGGAUUCCUUCACCAGCACUACCAUUCCACAGUUUGGACCUCGAGAAGUAUGAAGAUGCAGUUCGAACAGAACUAAAUAGACGAGACCCUCAGACCCCUUAGGUUAACUUGGUGCUAGUAGUGCUUGUCCCACAAGUUGUUUCUUGCAGUACUGCUGGACCAUCUCUGUUCUGCUGCCAUUGGCCAGAUACUCAGAAGAGGACGCAAAGAAUGAAUCAACUUGAGUUAGGCAGAUCUUAGUCUGUCAAGUUUGGUGUUCUGUUAAUUGAUGGCAGUUACUCACAGACGAGUUUCAGCUUUUAGAAUGAAUGCUGCGGUACAUGUUUGUUUGUGCAUUCAUGUAUGUGCCUGAUUCAACUUGUCUUGUGAUGUCUCUAUCUACCAAACUGGAUAAUGCAAGAGCCAUCCACGCUAAGUAUAGAAGGAUGCAGUGUCAGCCUAGAUCAACCCCUUCUUGUUUGAGAUUGAGCAAGAUGGAGAGGCACUCACUUGCUCUAAAGCUGAGACCAAUCCAGCAAGCACACCAAGAGCCCUGUAUAAUACCUUCAUUGCACAAUUUGAUGUUAACUCUUGCGGGAUGUUCUGAGUGGUUUCUGCAGGUCUUCCACGUCUUAGUGACUGUGCAGAUGAGCUCAGCUUGGGCACAUGUCCUCUAGCAGAAUGUCAGACAAACCCUUCAACACAAUUCAACUCUGCCCAUGACUAUGAUACAUUCCAAGCUUGGGAGAGAGAGAGCAAGUUUGCCGAUAAGCCCUUUCAGACAAUGGUGUGAUGGAUGAUCUAUACCAUGACUUGCUCCAAGGAAGGAACAAAGUGUGCUUUGGAGAUGCAACAAUUGCUAAGGAGACGCCAGGGAUGUGUGCUGCCAUAGCCUACUGGGAUGUGAUGACAUAAAUGCCAUAAAUGAACUGACUCUUGGCAAUUUGAGGCAUAUACCGCCAUGGACACUCGAACACAGCAUGGAACUUGAACUCUUAGAAUAUGUCAAAUAGCACUUGACCUCUCUUGCCUGGGUGUCAUAAGGAAUCAUUAAGGUUUUGUUGGAUCACAAAAAAUCAUCCUUGGGUAGGCCUACUCUAAGCCAAGUAUUUCAAGGAUAAUCCUUACAAAUUGGUCAGAGCUUUGUAAUUUGUUUUUUUCCUACAAUGUACAUGUACUCAAUGAACAACACUAUACAUGUACCAUAACGGAGACAAACUGGUACCUCCAGUUGAUUGAAAAUGAAUGUAGACUGUCUGGUGGACUUCAUCCUUUCAAAAAGAAUAAAAAAUUCUGGAAAUGGUUAUCAAAUUUCAGGGCACCCAAGGGCAGGAGAGGUGGAGUAUUAGACAAAGCUUGAGAUGGAAAGACAUUCACCUGAAAGGCAGUCAACAACUUCCCUGAAGAUUUUCAUUUAUUUUCUUUCAUUCUUUCUUGUACCAGAAUUCAAUUUUGGCUCCAUCUCUUAGUCAUUUUGCUGUAAAAUCUAUUGUUGAUAGUACCCUUUUAAUCCUUGGGGAAAACAGAGUUUCUGUUGGUGUUGAUCAAAUUUCAAUUUUAAUGAAACAAUUUAUGUUGACUGCCUUAAGGUAUGUCAAAAUUAUACCUUAUCUGGUCAUUGCCAAGGUAACUGGGUUCUCACAAAAGCAAACUGAUUAAUUCUGGAAAUUUUUGGCUUUGGUUUGCAUGUUUUCAGUCUGCACAAACUUGUGGCCCCUCUUUAGAUGAAAUGUGAGGGUUCAAACAAUUUCUUUUCAAACAUCAUUCUAAAUCAGAUUGAAAUCAGUGCUGUGUCACUCUGACUUACCUUACGCUGACUUCCAUCAAAGAAGUUUGUGUAAAGAUAUCUCAAUCCCAGAAAAUGCAGUAGCAAAUUAGACACUUUGCUCCGUGUAACAAAAUCUCUGGUAGAUCCAUUGCUUUCAGAGGCUCCUUUAUUUGUCAUCAAUCCAAUUGACUGUUUUUGUGAGAGUCGGUUAUGUGGAGUGAAAGAUAAUCGGAAGUGAUUUUAAAAAUGCCUGGAUGGUAAUGCCUGUAUUUUAUCUGGGCACAAGAUUGGUCAUCUGUCAUGCCAGCUAAUUGUUGAGAAAAAAGUGUUGCUGUUUUGAAUUGAUAUCUGCAUAUUGGAUGCUGAUAGAAAUGCCAGUCAUGGUCCUACUUCGCGCUUUGCUUGCCGAAUGGUACAUGUACAAAUACCUGAGCUUGAAAUUUACAUACAUGUACAUGUACAUACAAUUUUUGUCUUAUUUAAGAAGAAAGCAAAAAGACAACCUUUUGUCAUUGUUUCAGACAAACAGCAAAAAAAGUGCAUACGUUUUCAUUUAGUUUUACAAAUUUGAUGAUUUAUUUCCUUUGAUACAGAACACUUAAUUUCAAAUGUGAGCUUGUCAGUACUCCAUUCAAAAGAUUUUUUGGCAAAGUCAUUUGGUGUUGUUUAAACUGUUCACGGCACAUGUUUAUUUGAAAUUUGGAGAUACAUGUAUGUUAUCUCUGAGUUACCAGCUAGCUCUAAUAUCAAAGUAAACCCUUGUGUUUCCAUUUCUGAGUCAUCUGUUUUGGAAGAUUACUUUGAUCACACUGGAGCACUUUAUCUUGAAUUGUGUAACGGUGCAUCUGAUCCUAAACUCUAGUCUCCUUUCAACACAGAUCAAUCUUGUGCCCACCAUGUCAUUCAUUUUUUGUAUAACCAGCACUGGCAUGUAAGUCAAACUUGAAGGUAUCCAUUCAGUUGGACUCUUAACUGGUAGUUUUCAGGAGAAGUACCUCAUCACAAAUGCUGUUAAAUUCAAAUGUGCACUUGUCAGCAUUCCAUUCAAUUUUUUUUGGCAAAGUCAUGAAAUUCAGUAAUAAAGAUACAUGUAACGUGUUUACUUUGGAGAAAUGCCAAAAGAUUCUCAAGAAAUUAAUUCUCCCAAACUUAUCACAAACAAACACUUGCAUCAUUUCUCUAUCUCUGGUGCUGAUUGUACGAUUUAUGCCAUCAUAAAAACCCAAUACAUGUAACAAUGUAUAACAAUCUAUUACUUCAUGUUUCACCUACAGGCAUUCCAUCCUAAAAUCACUCGAAGCCCAAUGCAUGCAGGCCCCCCCUGCUGCACGCCCGGGUGGUGUUCCCCGCCCUGCAGGCACCGACAGGUCUGGUGAGUCGCCCCUGCUGUCUGUCAUUGGCUGGUGGUUGGCUGUUCUUUGUGUGUGCACCUUCUUCCUGCUUCUUGUUGUCUGGGCGAUCAUGGAUACCUCAGUUGACUACAAUGGGUAAGGAUCACUUGUGCUCUUACAGUUGGCUUGCUUUCCUUCAAAGGAGCUGGGAUCGAGGCUGCUUGUACGAUGUGUUACCGUGGCAACCAAUGAAUCCAUCCUGCACUCUUAGGAUUGCGAAUUGAGGGAUAACUCUUACACCUACUCUUGAUCCGACACCCACAACUUCAGAUGUCCUACAGUUGCAUCGUGUUUUGAACCAGACAGAGGAGAUGUUUACCCAUGCUAACUUUUUGUGAGUUAUCUCUGAUGUUUCUCAGUGUUGUGAAUUUUGGGACAAUUGUCGUAACUCCUGUUUGUGUUGAUAACUUCCUUGUGCAACUCCUAAAUUGAUCUACAUUGUAUUGUGUUACCAUGUUCCAAGGCAAACCUGACCUCAAAAGGACAGAGAAGACACAGUCAUCAAAACUGUAAUGAAAUGAAAAAGGUGUGGACGGUUUAUAUUCCUAGCCAAAAAAUCUGCAUGAUUUAUCCUUUGAGCCAUGCCACUGAAAAUGAGAUCAUUUAAACCAACCCUUCUGCUUUUUGCCUUUUGUACACUAACUCGCAAGACAAACAUUCUUGUAAAAACUGAAAGACAAAAAGCUCCAUUCCUAAUCUCAGAGCCGAAAUUGUAAAAUAGUCCUGCUACACGUGAGACACUCUGGUUUAAUCACAACAAAGCCAAAACUGAUUCCUGAUUGAGAAGCUAUUGCAAACCAUUCAAAAAGAUUUGAAUUCAGUCUCAAAGAAAUUGUAUCUAUCUUUUCGUUUUGUGAAAGAAUGAAAGUUGAAGCAAAAAUUCAUCUGAAGUGAAAUCAGCAGUAAGGAAAAUAGGCAGUUGAAUCUGAGUCCAGUUUCAAGAUUGCCACUGCUGUUAUUUAGUUAUAUCCAUUGUAAUAAAUCAACUUUUAAAAGCCAUUGUGCCAACAUCUAUCUGUAUUAAAAAUGAAAUGUGUAGCUCAACUUUGAAAAUCCAAUGACACCAAAAUAUGUUUCGGAGAAUUAAAACAGGUAAAAGGAAACAAAAGUUCUGUGAAAGGCCAAACUCUUGAAUUUACAAGGAGAAGUUGUGCAGAGAUUGGGAAACCAUACUGCCUCCUUGCCAGAUGAUGGAUGCGGUGGACAAGAUGCCCUCUGCAUCCUGACAAGAAGCUGUGGUGUCAGACACGGGGAGCCAGUCCUGCCUAAAGGCAUCCAUGGUAAGCUUAAUUGGAGUUUGGAGGAUCAAUUCAUGCACUGAUUGACAAGGUUGUACAUCCUCACAUCUUGCCCAUUGAACCCAAAGUCCCAAAUUGUGUGUCUCAUGGCUAGGAGUCAUGCUGCCUGUAUGUCUGUGUAAUAAGAUCCAAUGGCUCUGUGCAUGUAGUCUUCAGUCUUUGGCAGUACUGUGUGUAAGGGCCCAUUUACACUGACGAGUGGCAACAGAAAAGUGGCUAUGGUAGCAAUUACAGGUAUGUACAAAUUGGAAAUCCAUCCAGUAUGCGGAUCGUGACAUUAAUGACUUUCAACCUUGCCAGUGGUGCCCUCAUGGGAAGAGUUGAAUGCACAAAUGAAUUCAUGCCUAUUCUCACUUUAACACUCUGAGAGCUAGUUCAUGAUGUCAUACGUAAUGAAGCCACUGAUUGGUCAGUCUCAAUGUAGAAUCUUUGAAAAGUCAGUGAUGUUUCCUAAUGCAGCAGUUUAUCGUCCUGCUGCAGGGUUUGUCUGCUCUCAGUGUAAAAGCAGUGUGUGCAAUAUUUGUUACAAUUUGGAAUUCUAUUGCCACUUGUCUGUGUAAAUGGGCCCGUAGAAGGGAAAAGGUUACCUGAAAAGUUGACCUGUAUUGUUAUUGAAUUCUUGAUGAAGCCAUUGACAGUGAAAAAAGAUAUGAACACUGUUGAUUCAGUGAACAUGCUACUCUGGAAUAUGCGACUCAAAAUUGUUCUCUCCUCUUGGCUUGUUUUCCAAACUUCUCGGAAUCUUCAUGAAUUCAAAUCAGUGGCAGAGCUGUGAGAAAUCAAAAAAGUCACUCACUGUUGCAGCUAAAGACAAACCUGAUUGUCUGGACAGAGAGAAACAGCCUGUAUCAAGGUGCCAUCAGUGAUCAAGAAAGGCAUCACAUCAAAUGAUACAAGGCACAUCAAUGGAUAAAACUUCCACCCGUGUCAGAGUUCCAGUGAUCAUGAGUGCUUGAAUGCAGCACAGUGAAGUGCAAUGGCACAUUGUAAUGCCGUCUGCACCUGGGCCAUGAUAGCUCAAACUAUCAAGUGCUAGAAUCUGGAGAGCACGUGUACCCCAGUGGAUGCCAAGUAGCAUUCUUUGCUCUCUAGCAGAAGUGAAUAAAAGUCACAGAUUCUGUGAUGGUCAUUUGAUUUAUGUGAGUCGCAGGUAAAACAAGACAAACUUUACAUGCCAGCAGGCCAACAAGAUAUUGUCAUAUGGUUUCAUCCCAGUUUAAAUGCAACACACAGUUGUAGGGCUUUAAUUAGCUUGCCUUACAACUGUACUUGGCCCAAAGGAUGAACUGGUCUUUCCAGUAUUAAGCAAUGUGUCCCAAACAGUUCUUCACCUAAAUGCCAAAUCUUUAAAGCGUGAUUGUUUGGAAAAUUGUAGUCCACAUGCAGAUGAUCCAAAUCGAAAUUACAGUCGACUCUCGUUAUUACGAAAUCAGCUAAAACGAAAUUCCGGUUAUAACAAACAAAAGUGUGUAGUCCUGGCGAAAACGUGCAAUGAAAGGCAUUUGGUUGAAAGAAAGUAAUGGUACCCCCUCUCUGUACCAUGCUAUUCAAAAUUUCAGCCCAUGACUAAACUUGUGCAAAUGAAAGGAAAAAAGACUACAGUGCAUUUAAUUGUAAACCUUCAUCACCAAAUGUACAUGUACCUCAUCAAUUGAGGCUUUGUAAAGAAAGACAGGCUAAGGGUACUUUGUACAAUGGUUUGUUCAUACUUAGUUCUCAUGAAAGAGUACUUGCUAGCCACAGCCUGUAAAUCUUGUGCUUGUUCAGUAUCCUGCCCCCGGCAGCUAACAUUGCAUGUUUAUAGGUGGAGAACGUUUGGGACCUGUUGCACUUGUAUUGCCAAAGACUGAAGACUAACCAGCUCCAUGCAUUUUUUUCAGUGAUGUAGUAGACAAAAUACCAAACUUGCUCAGGCAAUGGUUGCAAAUGUACGUGUACAUGCAGAGAAAUGUGUUUCUUUUGGCAAUCGUGGACGUUCCUCUCGUCCUCUCAUGUUCAUAACUUUUUUGGAAGGCCUCUAAUAUGCUUUGUACACGUUUGGCAAUCGUGGACGUAUCGGGAAUCGUGGAUGGUCAUUAAUUCUUUUGUUUAACGUCCACAAUUGUUUGGGAACAUCAACGCAUGUGUACCGUGGCACUUGCAUGUGAUUAAUUCUCUUGAACAAUCUAGUGCAGUGCUACACACCCACUACUUGAAUGUACCAUUCAAAAGUGGUGUAAGCACCAAAUCUUGAUUUCUGUCACUCUAGAUAUUACAUAGGGUACCGCCUUCUUGUAAUCUUUCUAUGCAACAUUCUGUGUAAUGUUGCAUCUGCUUCUAUAUGUACAUCAUUGAAUUGAUUUUGGUCAGAUGUCAAAGGUAAAAGAAACGGGCCUCUAUUUUGAUACAAACAUGACAUUCAGAAUGCACUGGUACUGAAUACUGGUUACAUUUAGCUUCCAAACUGGAUUUUAUCAACCCAAUUGGUUGGAGGAGCAUGACUGUAAGGAUUGAAUCUAGGAAUUGCAAUUGAAAUAAAAGUAUGAACAACUGUUGUGAAAAAUACACAACUGCAAUAGAUUAAGGUCAAGGAGCCUAUAUCUUAAUACAAACGACAAUGUUAGAAUCUGCUGAGAAUCUGUUAGAAUAGUAAGAUUUUUCUGAAAAAACUGUCAAAGAUGCUUAAAUUGUAGGAAAGUUGAUACCAAACCAUAGAAAAAAAAGUUAUUGCUUGUUUGCAGUAACAUAUGGCAUGUUGUCAGUAUUUUUCAUCUGAGAGCACAGAGUGUGAUGCCAGAUCGUCAUACCAGUUACAAUCAGUCAUGUUUGUUUCAGAAAGGCCAUUGUUAAACAGAAAUCAAUGUCAAAGGUCACUUUGCUGAGGCAGGCUCUAAGAAACUCUGCACAGUCGGAUCAGAGACCAUCAUGUUGCUUGAAAAUGUUGACCUUUUUGCAGUGUUGACAGUAAAAAAUGUCUCGCAUGUAAGUUGCAUGAAGUGCUUCGAAUAUGAAGAAUCAUCAACCAUUUGUGCCACUUGUUGGUUUCAAGUAAAUGCUAAAUGGCAUGUACAUUUAUGCUCAUAUGUCAAAAUAACUGCUUUGAAAAAGUAGUUGACCGAAAUAAAAUAGAUACAAGGCAAAAAACCCCACAAUUUUACCGAAUUCUUUGGCAUCCAAGCUUUUGAAUGAUUAGCACACAUCACUACUAACAUUGGACUGACAACGAACAGUCUUGAAGAAGCAUCAAAUAUGAUUACAUAUAUAUGCUUCUGAUGCCAAUUCUGGCCUGUAUUCAAGUUUAUUUGUAAUCUAUCCUGCUUACAAUCUAACAACUUAUCGCCAGAGUGCAACUACCUGUCCUUGAAGAAAGUUCAACCUAUGUACAUGGAAAAGUGCUCCACUAGAAGCAAUGGCAUAGGUUAGCAACAAAGGUGGCACUGAGGACAACAUGCAAUCAAGAAAGAUUAGUUUUUGAACCUUUUCAAGUCAGUACAUUCGUCACUUGUCAGAUGCAUUUCUUGCAUAUGCACAUCUAGACAAUCUGUCCUUUUGUGCAUGAGUGACACUGUUUUGAAAUUGGCUCACUUUGAAAAAUCACAGCUUUUCUUGUGGCCUGCCUCAGCUUUGCAUGUGAGCUAUACACAUGCACAAUCCAUUUGUUAUGUAGACAUGCAGUGUAUGUGUACCCCAAACGUUGCCAUGUUAGAAGACACACUAUCUUUGGGUUGAUAGGAGUGAGGAUGUAUAACCAAUUGUACAGUGCAUUGAAUUGAUGAAAACUCCAAUUAAGCUUAACCAUGGGUGCCGUUGCAGGAGCAGGACUGGUAGAAUCCCCGUGUCGUCACGACGCCACAGCUUCUGAGGAUGCUGAGGGGUAGGUAGCUGCCGCAUCCGCAGUGGCAUAGCCGGAAAUGGGGAGCCGUGCCUUGGAUGAAAAGGAAUUCCUGAAAAAGUUGCCAUUUUAAAAAGAAAAUAAAAGAAGAAAAAACGACUCUGGACAAAAACAGUGUCCAAAAUCCAGCCAUCCUUUUCUUCCUACAAGGGCACUGUCUCCAAUUGGGGAAAUUGCCCAAGAGAAAAACCCCACUGCUAUGCCACUGCACACUGUUUAUCUAGCAGUGAGGCAGUAUGGUUUGUUCCCCAUUGCAUGUCCGACUUAAAACCAUAAAAUGUACAUGUGUGCAAUGAAAAAAUGAAACAGAACCAACUGCUACCUAUUUCAAUUUCUUAUUGAUGGAUAAAUGCUAACUAAUUUUCCACAAAAUAUAACAAAGGGUUUGGCCUUGUGUUAAAGUUGUCCUGUAUUUGCAGUUGCAAAGAAGAAAAUUGAAAAGUAGAUGAAAGAGACCAUUCUUUCAGGAAUGCUAGAAUGCGUCAGAAUACUGGUGAAUACUCUACAUAAUUGAUAGAGCAAAAUAAGACGGAUGAUGGCAUAAAUCAACCUUUUAGUCUUACCAUGCGACACUUUAAGAACAUACUUAGAUAUUUCUGGAAAUGAACCAAUUUAUGGCGGAAAAGAAAAUGCUUCUCAAUCAGGAAUAUUAAAAGAAGAAAGCAAGUGGUAUUUUCCCUGAUUCAUUUGACUUUUUUUAAUUGUAAAAGUGUAAAAAAGAAUUAGAAAGACUGUUUGCCCAGCAAAACUAAUCUGUUUGUGCAGCUAAAAGGGACAAAUUCUGUUUCUUUUUGAUCAGAUUUCGGUUCACAAGUCAUUUCUAAGGAGUCAUUUUGUGUACUUUAAAUAGAAUGAAUUCGUAUGUAUGAGGGAUUAGCUCUGUAAGCUAAUCGGUGUCCACACAUGACAAAUAGUCAAGUUCACUGGGCUUAUACAGACUGCUUUUUGAAAAAGGAACAUGGUUUACACAGUACUUGUAGGUUGUAUUGGAGUUGUCAUGGAAGUUAUUUAUGUGGACAAGAGCUACGAUAAAUGCCCUACAAAUUUGUAACAUUGUCAAAUGUCGUAGAAAGCUUGCAAAACGUUAGAGUGUGUUAAAUGCUUCAUCUGGUUGAUUCAGGCACAGAAUGUAACUUGUGGCUCUGGAAAUGUCGGUUGCAAAGAUCAUGACGAGUAGCCCGUGUGGGAGGGUUCUCUUUAAUGAGCAAUUCUUGGGAGUAAUGGAGUGAUCACUGGUAUCCAUAGCAACACAGAGUAUAAACAACCAAGAUGCCGUACUUUGAUAGAAAGCAAUGCCGAUGGUAAGAGUUCAAGUGAUCCUUGUCCUGUUGGAGUUAACUGAAGUCAUUCAUGAAUGCUUGGAUUUCAAGAGUGGGGAAAUGUGUGCACAUGAAGAAAAAGCGAUCACUAGUUGGUGCAGAUAGUUAGGGGGACUCCCUGGUCUGAAGGUGUCUGUAGGGCGGGGACACACCACUUGGGUGUGCAGCAGGGGGGGGGCCUGCAUGCAUUGGGCUUUUUUUUUG